Molecule: ribosomal RNA, 233 nt
Filed under: uncultured bacterium
Lineage: Bacteria
Description: partial 16S ribosomal RNA
Source: RNAcentral
UAAUCCGACCUAGGCUCAUCCAUCGACGCGAGGUCUUGCGACCCCCGCUUUCCCCCGAAGGGCGUAUGCGGUAUUAGCCAAUCUUUCGACUGGUUAUUCCCCAUCAUUGGGCAGAUUCCGAAGCAUUGCUCACCCGUUCGCCGCUCGUCAGCACGUAUUGCUACGCCUGUUACCGCCCGACUUGCAUGUGUUAGGCACGCCGCAGCGUUCAAUCUGAGCCAGGAUCAAACUCU